This 1274-nucleotide long non-coding RNA is filed under the name Populus trichocarpa (black cottonwood). RNAcentral describes it as "long non-coding RNA (PTRI_LNC000081)". Lineage: Eukaryota; Viridiplantae; Streptophyta; Magnoliopsida; Malpighiales; Salicaceae. The record is from RNAcentral.
CCCCGCGGUGCCUUACCUGUCUACUGGGCUUGCAUGGUAUUCAGUGGACCCGGGGAUUAGUUGUGGUGCACGUAAGCUGGCCCGGACACCUCGAAUUAUAAAAAAAUACACACACACACACACACACACACAACGCUACAAAACAGCAGGAAAAUGUUGCAGUGUUAGUUGUCGUAUAAUAUAAACUAUCUUUUCUAACCGUUGUCUUAUUGCCUCUGCAACUUUUCUGAGUGCUUUAAUUAUAUGCUCAUAAAACAAUCAGUUUUGCCUUGAUAGGAGAAGUGGGCAUAUUGAAUGAUGGGCGAGGUCCUUGGUCAGCUAAUCUUGUAAAGCAUUGGAACGCAGCUUGACAAGGAGGCAGAGGAUGCAUGGAGACGGAGACCCAAGUUAAGACGGAACAAUCACUUUGAUGUGAAGCUAUUUCUUCCUCUCUCAUCCUCUGGCAAUGAGGAGAUGAGAGCAAAAAUAGUUUUGUGGGUAUUUUUAAAAUAUUAAUUUUGCGAGGAAUUAUUAUUAUGGUAAAUCAUAUGAAAAAAAAUAAAAAAUCAAUACACUUUCCACCUUAUAUACGUUUCUAUGCCCAAAAGAAAGAGAACCUUAUUCUUGUCCCCCUAUCCUUUUAAUUUUAUUUUUUUCUCUUUUUUUUCUCUUUUGGAUAUUGCUCGUCUCUCUAUCCGUAAGUGGAAGCCUAGAACACGAAACUGCAAAGCAUGCCUCCCUUCUUUUCUUUUCUUUUUAUUUUGGCGAUAUUAGGAUCACUAGAUCGUUCCGAGAAACCUCCAGAGCUCAAAUACAUGUCCCUUUAAGGCAACAAAGAAUUACAAGGUAGGUGAUGAGAUUGUGAUAUUUUAUUGAUUUGAUUUAGCUUUUCAUCGGCAUCAUUAGAGGCCUAAAAAGAUGCUUUGAGAUCCAAAUUACCUUUUUAUAACAUAAUUUUUAAAAGGGGUAUCGCAAUAUUCAAGCCACUCGCGUACCUUUUAGACAUAAUUAACAAUUUCAUGAAUUCAACUGGGUUGCAUGUUGCUUCACCGCCCUGACUUUACACAAAAGCAAAAAGGAUAAAAGGUAAUCACCUCUUCUGGCCUUCAACAAGGUUCCGCUCGUGUCGUCUUGCUUUUUAUCUUGUAAAAAAUUCCCAUGCUUUACAUGCAAAAAUAGCUGGAGAUGCUCUCCUUUAGUUUUAGCAGGUUUUGCAACCCUCAAAAGUAAAAGCCAGAGCCCUGUUUGUUCCAAAACUACGAUAGGGCAAGUCCCUGUCAGCCUUUCAACCCCCG